RNAcentral lists this ribosomal RNA (303 nucleotides) under uncultured Halomonas sp. Its description in RNAcentral is "bacterial SSU rRNA". It matches the Rfam family "Bacterial small subunit ribosomal RNA", at positions 843 to 1149 of the family's 1533-position model. Lineage: Bacteria; Pseudomonadati; Pseudomonadota; Gammaproteobacteria; Oceanospirillales; Halomonadaceae. The record is from RNAcentral.
CGGCCGCGUCGACCGCGAUAAGUCGACCGCCUGGGGAGUACGGCCGCAAGGUUAAACUCAAAUGAAUUGACGGGGCCCGCACAAGCGGUGGAGCAUGUGGUUUAAUUCGAUGCAACGCGAAGAACCUUACCUACUCUUGACAUCUACAGAAGCCGGAAGAGAUUCUGGUGUGCCUUCGGGAACUGUAAGACAGGUGCUGCAUGGCUGUCGUCAGCUCGUGUUGUGAAAUGUUGGGUUAAGUCCCGUAACGAGCGCAACCCUUGUCCUUAUUUGCCGUCAUUUAGUUGGGCACUCUAGGGAGAC